CUCUUAUCAUGAGUUGGCGGAGGGAAUUGGCCCUACGAAGCCCAGCAACCGGCCGAAAUACCAUUGUGAUAUGGGGCGCUAUAUGCGCCAUUAACGUUAAGGCACGGUGCUACAUCCACCAGAAAGCAGUUGCUUUCUGAAAGAUAAGAG
This 150-nucleotide non-coding RNA is filed under the name Bacillus solimangrovi. RNAcentral's name for it is "SAM-I sequence". It matches the Rfam family "SAM riboswitch aptamer (S box leader)". Rfam says of the family: The SAM riboswitch is found upstream of a number of genes which code for proteins involved in methionine or cysteine biosynthesis in Gram-positive bacteria. The record is from Rfam by way of RNAcentral. Lineage: Bacteria; Bacillati; Bacillota; Bacilli; Caryophanales; Bacillaceae.